This 557-nucleotide ribosomal RNA is filed under the name uncultured bacterium. RNAcentral describes it as "bacterial SSU rRNA". It matches the Rfam family "Bacterial small subunit ribosomal RNA", at positions 102 to 694 of the family's 1533-position model. The record is from RNAcentral.
ACGGGUGAGUAACGCGUGGGAAUCUACCCAUCCCUACGGAAUAACGCAUGGAAACGUGUGCUAAUACCGUAUACGCCCUACGGGGGAAAGAUUUAUCGGGGAUGGAUGAGCCCGCGUUGGAUUAGCUAGUUGGUGGGGUAAAGGCCUACCAAGGCGACGAUCCAUAGCUGGUCUGAGAGGAUGAUCAGCCACAUUGGGACUGAGACACGGCCCAAACUCCUACGGGAGGCAGCAGUGGGGAAUAUUGGACAAUGGGCGCAAGCCUGAUCCAGCCAUGCCGCGUGAGUGAUGAAGGCCUUAGGGUUGUAAAGCUCUUUCACCGGAGAAGAUAAUGACGGUAUCCGGAGAAGAAGCCCCGGCUAACUUCGUGCCAGCAGCCGCGGUAAUACGAAGGGGGCUAGCGUUGUUCGGAAUUACUGGGCGUAAAGCGCACGUAGGCGGACUUUUAAGUCAGGGGUGAAAUCCCGGGGCUCAACCUCGGAACUGCCUUUGAUACUGGAAGUCUGGAGUAUGGAAGAGGUAAGUGGAAUUCCGCGUGUAGAGGUGAAAUUCGUAGA